GAACCUGCGGCCUGCUUAUACAUGCAAGUCGAGCGGACCGACUGGAGCUCGCUCCCUUCAGUCACCGGCGGACGGGUGAGUAACACGUGGGUAACCUGCCUGUAAGACUGGGAUAACUCCGGGAAACCGGGGCUAAUACCGGAUGCUUGAUUGAACCGCAUGGUUCAAUCAUAAAAGGUGGCUUUUAGCUACCACUUACAGAUGGACCCGCGGCGCAUUAGCUAGUUGGUGAGGUAACGGCUCACCAAGGCGACGAUGCGUAGCCGACCUGAGAGGGUGAUCGGCCACACUGGGACUGAGACACGGCCCAGACUUAAACGGGAGGCAGCAGUAGGGAAUCUUCCGCAAUGGACGAAAGUCUGACGGAGCAACGCCGCGUGAGUGAUGAAGGUUUUCGGAUCGUAAAACUCUGUUGUUAGGGAAGAACAAGUACCGUUCGAAUAGGGCGGUACCUUGACGGUACCUAACCAGAAAGCCACGGCUAACUACGUGCCAGCAGCCGCGGUAAUACGUAGGUGGCAAGCGUUGUCCGGAAUUAUUGGGCGUAAAGCGCGCGCAGGCGGUUUCUUAAGUCUGAUGUGAAAGCCCCCGGCUCAACCGGGGAGGGUCAUUGGAAACUGGGGAACUUGAGUGCAGAAGAGGAGAGUGGAAUUCCACGUGUAGCGGUGAAAUGCGUAGAGAUGUGGAGGAACACCAGUGGCGAAGGCGACUCUCUGGUCUGUAACUGACGCUGAGGCGCGAAAGCGUGGGGAGCGAACAGGAUUAGAUACCCUGGUAGUCCACGCCGUAAACGAUGAGUGCUAAGUGUUAGAGGGUUUCCGCCCUUUAGUGCUGCAGCAAACGCAUUAAGCACUCCGCCUGGGGAGUACGGUCGCAAGACUGAAACUCAAAGGAAUUGACGGGGGCCCGCACAAGCGGUGGAGCAUGUGGUUUAAUUCGAAGCAACGCGAAGAACCUUACCAGGUCUUGACAUCCUCUGACACCCUAGAGAUAGGGCUU
This 999-nucleotide ribosomal RNA is filed under the name Bacillus licheniformis. Its description in RNAcentral is "bacterial SSU rRNA". It matches the Rfam family "Bacterial small subunit ribosomal RNA", at positions 31 to 1014 of the family's 1533-position model. The record is from RNAcentral. Lineage: Bacteria; Bacillati; Bacillota; Bacilli; Caryophanales; Bacillaceae.